Pogoniulus pusillus (Red-fronted tinkerbird) is the source of this 898-nucleotide long non-coding RNA. RefSeq lists it as uncharacterized. NCBI's taxonomy places the organism in Eukaryota, Metazoa, Chordata, Aves, Piciformes, Lybiidae. The transcript has 3 exons. The record is from RefSeq and is a predicted model, not a curated record.
CCCAACUGGGCAGAGGGAUCCUCCUCCUCUCCUCACCGGUGCUUCUUUCUGCUUGCUCCUGAAGAGUUGAAGUACUCGGUGGAACUGGAAGCUCACAGCUUUGAGGUACCAAAAGCAAACGGGUUUCAGUUCUUUGAAUGACGCACAGAAGCACUGCCAUGGGCUGUUGUAUUAAUUCUACCCCAGAUAUUGCUCAAAUGGAAACUCACACCGGUGGGACACGUUGUGUGGAAAAUAAGAACGCUAAAGCAUUUUUUUAUUGGUUUAAAAACCUAAAAUCCUUCCUUGCUGGACAGUACUGCGCAUGCUUCGCACACACAUCAAACCCUGCGUGUGCAGGACGUUGGUACACCACCACAAGGCUGUGCCAAUACACUUAAAAGAUCUGCUCAUCAGAAGACGAGUGAACGGUGGAUGCCAGGGAAACGGACACUGCGCAGUUGUGCGGCCUCCGGUGAGGCACCUCCAGCCCGCGGUCGUGGUGCUCUCCCUAGGAGAGCUCUGGCCCGAGGCUCCGCCGCUCCCUCCCCACCACUACCGCUCGGUUCUCCGCCUAAGAGGGGCUUCAGAAGCUAAGCCGAGAGACGCCACCGGGGUCCCCGCGCAGAGCCCGCCCCAGCACCAGCCGCCAGCGACGCGCGGGACCCCACGCGCAGGCGCCUCGCCCCUCCCCCACCGGCCUCGCGGACGCGGGGGACGGACGGGGGAGGGGCAGAGCCCGGCACAUCCCUCCCCCGCCUGCGGGCGCCUGCAGCAGUCCAAAGGGAUCGAGCUGCCAGCUGCCCCCGAGCGCCAGGGCGGCCGCUGUGCCUCGUCCUGCCCUUCCCCGUAAGGGGACGGGACAAGACGCCUCGCUGCGGACGCGCCCCAGCCCACGGGGAGCCCACUGACCUGAGGC